AUUGAACGCUGGCGGCAUGCCUAACACAUGCAAGUCGAACGGCAGCAUGCUCUGUAGCAAUACAGAGUGAUGGCGAGUGGCGGACGGGUGAGUAAUACGUAGGGAUCUGCCUUGAAGAGGGGGACAACCCGGGGAAACUCGGGCUAAUACCGCAUGAUACUCUAAGGAGGGAAGGGGUGGCGCAAGCCAGUCGAUUUAAGAGGAACCUACGUACGAUUAGCUAGUUGGUAAGGUAAAGGCUUACCAAGGCAGAGAUCGGUAGCUGGUCUGAGAGGAUGACCAGCCACACUGGGACUGAGACACGGGCCAGACUCCUACGGGAGGCAGCAGUGGGGAAUAUUGGACAAUGGGGGCAACCCUGAUCCAGCGAUGCCGCGUGUGUGAAGAAGGCCUUCGGGUUGUAAAGCACUUUAGUUGGGGAAGAAGGCUUGCGGUUGAAUAGGCCGCAAGAUUGACGGUACCCAAAGAAUAAGCACUGGCUAACUCUGUGCCAGCCGCCGCGGUAA
RNAcentral lists this ribosomal RNA (506 nucleotides) under uncultured bacterium. Its description in RNAcentral is "partial 16S ribosomal RNA". It matches the Rfam family "Bacterial small subunit ribosomal RNA", at positions 29 to 523 of the family's 1533-position model. The record is from RNAcentral.